This is a long non-coding RNA of Vigna angularis (adzuki bean), 1065 nucleotides long. RefSeq lists it as uncharacterized. NCBI's taxonomy places the organism in Eukaryota, Viridiplantae, Streptophyta, Magnoliopsida, Fabales, Fabaceae. The record is from RefSeq and is a predicted model, not a curated record. The transcript has 2 exons.
UAACAGGUUUUGGUGCAAUUUUUGGUGAACAACAAUCAGGAGAUGUUGGAAAUUUUGGUGUGGACCUGUUUUUUCAGAUGCUCUUCGAAAGCUUGUCGAAGGUUAGAUGAUAAACAAUUGCUUUAAACGAGCGUUCUCCUUGGUGUUCUCCCAUAGGAGAGGCUUGCUGCAAUUGAAGAAUAUAGUGAACUUGUUCAAGGCUUCCAAAUGGCUAAGAAAGACAUGGGUGUAAGAGGUUUUGGUGCAAUUUUUGGUGAACAACAAUAAGGAUAUGUUGGAAAUUUUGGUGUUGACCUGUUUUUUCACAUGCUCUUUAAAAGCUUGGCCAAGGUAAGCUUUUAUUUGUGAGGUGUAUUUUGGUAUGUAGCAUCGAUCCUACAAUUUUAGUUAAAAUAGAAGAAUUCUUGAUGAUAUGCAUGUUUGUUUGUGACUUAUUUUAUAUUAUAAUGAAAUGAAAAAAGUUAGAAGUUUGGUAAUUAUUUUAUAUUAUAAUUAAAUGGAAAAAGUUAGCAUUUAUUGCGAAUGAUGAUCAUCGAUGAUGUCUCAAGUUAAGGAGUUUGAUGAGUUAAUAUUUUCUCACUUUGCAUAGCUUAUUGUACUACAUUUAAUUAUAGAAUUAUGUUUAAAUAUCUAAUAUUUUUAGAUUUAAUUAUGGAAUUAUGCUUAAAUAUCCAAUAUUUUUAGUUUUUUUAUUUGUGUUUAAUUUAACUAAUAAUUCUUAUUUUGAAUUAUUAUUUUUAGGUCAAUAUUAAGAAAUGUAUUUUGGGACAUUAAAAGAGCUCUCACGUCAUUUUCUACUCUCCACAUAAGUAUUUUAGUUUAAAUUAAAUUGUAAAUGUGUUUUAGGAGUUUUGGGUCCAUUUUUGGGCCAAAUUGGAAGGGCACAAUUUUGGGGGUUGGCCUAGUUUAGUGUGCCCAUGUAGCAGUCACCCUUUAGCUCCUUCAUUCUUCACAUUUACGUUUUUGCUGGGACAGAGGAGAGCUCUCCCAUUAGGUUCUCCUUUUGCUUCUAUGUAUUGAACACGAUUUAUAUUUCCAUUGCAAUUCAAAUUUCGAGUUCGUUUA